This 77-nucleotide ribosomal RNA is filed under the name Minutocellus polymorphus. RNAcentral's name for it is "partial 5.8S ribosomal RNA". The record is from RNAcentral. Lineage: Eukaryota; Bacillariophyta; Thalassiosirophyceae; Cymatosirales; Cymatosiraceae.
CGCGAUGGACUUCUUGGAUAGCAUGUCGGUGAAGCCCGCCGAGGAGAAGAUCCGAUUUAUCCAGAGCUUACCAGAAC